UAGAGCUUAGGAAAUACGUGUUUGAAGAUUUAAAAUAUAGUUCUUUGAACUCCUUAGAGGAAAAGUCUAUGAAUAAAUAAUUAGACUCAUUUCACAUCAAAAUCUAAAGUGUGAAAAAAUGUUCGUAUCAUUUGGUGCUUUAUUCACUUGUAUGGUAAUCUAAUGGCAUACCCAUUGUUAACACUGAACUGUACUGAAAUAUUUUACUCUCAGGGCUUUUCAUCUGACAAAGGAGGCUUUUUGAAAAUGAAAAAUCACAGCUCCUGUCCCUGUUUAACAGGUUUAGUCACCACAGUUGAAAGGCAUCAUCCUCAUAAUGAAGCCAGAGAAGAAUAAAGGUUGAUCAUGCAGGGCUGGCUGGCUGUGACAUUGAACAAUAGAGCUUGACUUCUUCAUGUCUGUUAAAUUAGACUAUGGGGUGUGCUUAUCUUGCUGCAAUGAUACUGAAUUGUAACAUGAAAAUGUUAUGUUGUGCAGCUCUGCGAAGGGAGUUCAUCCGUUCUCACCUCAUAUGUAUGGCAAAAGCUUUAAAAUACUACUGAAGCUGCCUAGUGGGCUUAAAGUCUAAUGGCACAGAAUUGGGCAUAAUAAUGAAACAAAUAAAGAAAAAGUGCAAAGGCUUUUAAAUGUCUUGUACAAUUUUAUUUAUAGUAGUCUUUUAAGGGUCUAAGGCAGAACACAAGAAGGGUAUGCUGGAAAAAUUCCAUUUGGAAGAGGUCUUUGAAGGAGAUAAGUGUUACGGCCUGAAGGAAAAGUAAGAAGAUAUGUUGCGUAGGUGAGUGAUUUAUUCUAAACUUUUCUACACGUGUACUUGAUACAUACAACUCAAUUCUUUAAAUAUUGAUAAAAUACCUACUAUGUUCCCAGCACCGUGUUGGAUACCAUAGGAGAUUUUGAAAGAGCAUUAAAUUCAGUCCUGCCUUGAGCAAUUUAGUAUUUUUUGAGGCGACAGAAAUGAAAUCCAUGAAAUAAUUUCUUAGAAUUGUCGGAUAUGUGAAUGACAGUAUUAUAAGCUGUCAAGAUCAUGUAAAAUUUUGAUUCUGUUAUUAUAUGUAUCAUUCCCAGAUGUGUCACAUGAGCUUUUGAUAGGCAUACCUUUUAUGUUUUCAAGUCUCUGAUAAAAAUGUUAAAAAGUCAAGGCCAUGGUUAGGUUAGGGGCAAGAAAGAGCCUUCUGACACUUCCCAUACUUGUUCUUCACACAUGCUUUUUGUCUACUUUUGAACCUGUGUUAUUUUCUAAAUGUGUAUAAGCCACAAAUUAGUAAUCUGUUACAAAAUUUUAUCGUGGAUGUUAAGCUACUGUUCAAGUUAUACACACAUACAUGUGUGUGUAAAAAUCUGGAUUAAUAUUCUAGUUCUUUCAGAGCAAUUAUCCUGCAAAUCCUGCCAGGUGAUGGGAAUAAAUAGGGUGCCCAUCACCCAGAGGUUUCCUUUUAGGGGAAGUAAGAGCAUGGGAGCUAACCAACACCAAGCACCAUGUACCCAAAUCUUAGCAAGCAUAACUAUAGCUACCAGUUAUCUGGGCAUGUCACAGGACAUCCAAGGAGGACUCAAUUCCACAGUUUCACCUGGGCAUUCGGCUUAUGAAAAGGAGUCCAUGCAACCCCCCAAGACACAUUUUUGUCCCAAAUUCAAUUCCAAGCUUUGGGUCAAAGCCCUGGGAAAGAAAACUGGAUCUAAGGGAUCUAGAGGCAGAUGAUAAUAGAGGUUAAAAGGCACAGUGCAGGUGAGCAUGGCUAGUUUCUGCCAAUUAAGCCAAGCCUCCCAUUUCAUGGAUAAAGGUCAAGCUAAUAUUCAUGGCAUAAAUGAGGUCCCGGGAACUCCAAGGCUACUGACAGUAGCAGGGAUAGAGACAUAGGUGAGAGCAGAUAAUUCCUAUUCUCUAGGCCCUCCCUGCUUCAUGGCUACAAACUGCUUUGGCACCCAUGAGUGGCACCUGUUAUGGUUUCUAGGACUCAGGGAUGCAAGGAUGGAAGAGGGAAAGAGGACUCACUUCCUUCUUUCCCUCACAUACCCCAGGUAUUUGCUAGGAAGAGAAGGGAACCAGGGAUGCCUGCUCCCCUCUUUCUAGAUGAGUAGCCAUUCAUCUUCAGUUUGUAUCCCUUUCAAAUGCAUCCCGAACCCCUGGGAUUCCCUUGAAAAAUGCCCUCUUUUUUCUUUUCUCCUCCUUGGUUCUCUCUUCACAGAUAGGUAAUUGUGUCUCCAUACUACGGGACAUUCCCCUAAGAUGCACCCUCCAAACUGGGAAAAGUUAAUUUCCCAAACCUUAAACUGGUUGGCUUAGGACUGGGCUCAGGGGAAGUCCAACAUGUCGGCAAAAGGGUAGUUUUUUUUUUUUUUUUUUUUUUUUUUUUUUUUUUUUUUUUUUUUUUUUACCAGUUGGGCUUUUGGUCUUCCUCUCCCCAUGCAAACUGGUAAAAGGCCUCAGGAUUUUUGAGUUGUCCUCAGCCCCCUCCUCUUGUUUCAUUUUAAUACAUGUUUUCUAAUAACCCAGUUUGUCUCUUCUUACUUUCAGACCAUCAAACUCCAAAUGGUCAUGCAACCAAAGUCUUGAAGUCUCGGACAAUGACCCCUUCUGCCAGGAACUCUUAGAUAGGCUUCUGACUGCCAUUUUCCCCAAAACAAGACCCUCUGUCAGCAGGAAGCAGUUAAGAUCUGUCUUCAUCCUUAUCUUUAUCCUUAUUCUAAUGUCAGUUAGACAUACUUCUUUAGAGGGGGGAAUGUGACAGCCAAGUAUAAAGGGGUCGCUAGAGAACCUCUGGGACUACAGGUGUGUGCUACCACACCCGGCUAAUUUUUUGUAUUUUUAGUAGAGAUGGAGUUUCAGCAUGUUCGCCAGGCUGGUCUCGAAUUCUUGACCUCAGGUGAUCGGCUCACCUUGGCCUCCCAAAAUGCUGGGAUUACAGGUGUGAGCCACUGCGCCUGGCAACAGAUAUUUACUGAAUGCCAGUUAUGUGUCAGGUUCAGUUGCGUUGAUUAUUCACUCUCAGAGCCUCCCAGAUUUGGUCUUUCCCUUAUAUUAUUUAUUUAUUUAUUUAUUUAUUUGAAACACAGUCUCGCUGUGUCACCCAGGCUGGAGUGUAGUGUUGUGAUCUCAGUUCACUGCAACCUCUGCCUCCUGGGUUCAAGCAAUUCUCAUGCCUCAGUCACCGAGUAGCUUGGAUUACAGGUGUGUGCCACCAUGUCCAGCUAAUUUUUGUAUUUUUAGUAGAGACGGGGUUUUGCCAUGUUGGCCAGGCUGGUCUUGAACUCCUGGCCUCAAGUGAUCCACCCACCUCUGCCUCCCAAAGUGCUGGGAUUACAGGCCGCGCCACUAUGCCCAGCCUUUUCCCUUAUAUUCUCAUUCACUUCAACAACUUAAGUUCCGACCUAGAGGCCUCCAUCUCAGUCUUCCACCACACUGUAUACCUUGUUGUGCUGCCACAGGGUUUGUGGUGUCAAAGCAGGCAUCUCAGUCCAGCAUUGAGGCCUUUCAUCAUCACAGUCUUUCUAUCUGAAGUUUAUCUUCUGUCAUUCCUCAUCAUACCCACAAGAUUUGGCCAUACCUGUGUCAUUACCUUUGUUGUUGUUGUACAUACACAUGUUAUGAUUUACAUUUGGGCUUUUCCUUAUUCCUUUUCCACGUUAGCAUUUAUGAAGGUAGUCUAUACUUGAUUACCCAGGUGUUCUUUAUUUAAUGUAACUCGUAUUCCUGACAAGCUUAUCUGCACAAAAUUUUGGUACAUUGGACCAUUUAAGACAAGAGUAAAUAAUCAAUUUUAAUUUAUCUUUGUUUAAAGUUGGAGUUUUAUUUAGUGGAGAUAUGAUGCAUCUGUAUAUUGCUUUGUGCUUUGUUAAUGUUCAGAUAAGGAAACUGAGGUUCCUAGUGGUUAAGAGAUUGGCAUAGGACAUUUGGCUAGUAAAUAGAGAGAGUAGGAUUAAAACUCACAUUUUAUAACUCAUUGUCGAGUAUGCUUUUCACUAGAAUAGUUGAUUUCCUUUUAUUCUCCUCGUUUUAUGUAAUUCUGUUAUAAUAUCCCUAAAGGUAAGAGCUGUAUUUUGUAUCAUACCCCUCCUCCAAAUAUUCAUAACAUUAGUGCCUACCGUAGUUUUGGAUAAAGAGAUUUAAUUGCCAUGUUGAUAUAUGUGAAUGUAUCAGUCAUAGUGGGAUAGGUUAUGUUGCAAUAAUAAACAGCCCAUCCCCCCCAACCUCAGUGGCUUACAACACUAACAUUUCUUUCAUGUUGCAUGUUUAUCUUGGGUUUAUUGUGGCUAUGUUUCAUGUUGUCUGCAAUGUGCAACCUGGGAUCAGUAAGCAACUUCUUGAACACUUGUAGUGGAUAGAAAAAGGGCACAGUAACCCAUGUACUACUUCUCAAACAGUAAUGUUUUCACAUCUUAUUGGCCAGAGCAAUUUACAUGGUGAAGCCUGUUGUCAGUAGGGCAUAAAAGUAUAAUCCUUCUGUAGGUAGGGGCAGCAAAUAUUUUUGAAAAAUAAUACUCCGCCCAAAAAAUCUGUGACCUUACAUACAGAGCAUUGAGCAACUUGUAUUUUUCAGUUUAUGGCAUACUAUCAUCAUUGGUCCCUGUCUGGCCACUUUGUUUUUUAAUUCAUUUGUCUGUCUGUUUUAAUGUAUUCUUAUAAAAUGCAUUCUAUUGUUUGGGAUAUGUAUUUUAAAUUUAUAAGUGGUAUAAUGCUAGAGAUUGUAUUCUGUUUCUUAAUUUUUUUUCACUUAACAUUUAUUACAAGAUUUAUUCACGUUGCUGCACAUUCAUCCAGUUUGUUGCAUCUGGUGAAUAUAGUUGUCCCUUGGUACAUGUGGGGAACUAACCAGUUCUAUACCAAAAUCCACACACAGUCACAUCUGAAAGUUGACCCUGCAGAAACUGCAUAUAUGAAAAGCACCCCACCACCCACUGCUCCUUACGCACGGGUUUGCAUCUGGGGAAUGUUGUAUUUUCCAUCUGCCUUUAGUUGAAAAAAAAUCCACAUAUAAGUGUAUCUGCACAUUUCAAACCUGUGUUGUUCAAGGGUCAGCUAUCUAUAGUAUUGCAUGAUAAAUAUCCACUACACUUUACCUGUCCACUUCCCUAGAGGGUCUUCAAUUCUGUACUACAAUAAAUGGUGCUGCGUGAGAAUUUCUUUGGGCUGUACACCCAGGUAUAAGAUUGCUGGGUCUUUGGACAUACAUAUAUUUAACUAUUUAAGUAUUGCUUUCUUAUUGUUUUUGCUAAGUCUUCACAGCUAUUAAGCCUUGGUAUUAUGAGAGUUUAGUAAUUGUGUAUUCUAUCUUGUAAGUUAACCUUACUAAUUCUGUAAAAAAAGUCCACCCAACUAAGAACACACGUGUAAGUAAUGUGACAUGUAAUUCACCUCUGUAAACAUAUUUUUCACUAAUGAUUAUGUAUAUGCGUAUGUUAUAAACUGUUAUUCUGAGGCAUUAUUUUGUAUCUCUGUAAAUCAGUGAGUGGAUAAACAAAAUGUAGUAUAUUUAUUCAAUGGAAUAUUUUUCAGCAAUAAAAAUGAAUGAAUUAAUGAUACAACCUGGAUGAACCUCAGAAACAUUGUGCUAAGUAUAAGAAUCCAGUCACAAAAGACUAUUUUAAGAUAGCAUUUAUAUGAACGGUCUAGGACAGGCAAAUCUGUAGAGACAGUAGAUUAGUAGUUGCCUCGUGCAGGAAACUAGGGAGUAUGGACGGAAUGGGGUUUCUUUUGGGGGUGAUGAAAAUGUUGAAAAAUUGAUUGCGACAAUGUUUGCACACCUGUGUAAAUACACAAAAAACUAUUAAGUUGUACCAUUUAACUGGGUGAACUUUGUGGCAUGUAAAUUAUGUCUUAAUAAACCUGUUAAAGACAAAACAAAACUUCAAUCAGAUCGUUUUCCAAGAAGCAGGCUAGAAAUGAGUUAAAUGUUGACCCCUUCAUGUAGGGGGAAGAUUUUCUCCCCUUGUGAGAACCUGAAGGGAAAAAAUUGGGACAGUUUUAUUCCCAAACUCUAUCCUCAAGUUGUUUGAAAAUAAACCCAUGCAUGUUAUUUCAACUGACUAUCUCUGUGCUGAUAUACCCUCAGCCCUGAUAAUUUGUUUAACUGUUUAGUUAUCUUCAGGAUAUUUUUACUUGUAUAACCCACCACUAAUUUUCUUCCCAAUUAUCCAAUUUCUGCUGUCCUUUCGGUUUUUUAUAUCUCAGUAGUUUAUAUCUCCAUAAAUCUUGGUGAUCUCUUUCUUUUUUCUCAUUUCUAGAUUAACCUUUUAUCAUGUCAUAUCAUAUUAUCUUGAAAUUAUUUUUCACAUAUGCUUCUUUUUAUUCUUUAGACUUUACUCUGCCCAAAAGGAGAAAAUAAUUUCUUUCUUCAAUGUUUUAGAAACAAUAGCAUUGGCAGAUGUAUGCUAAUUAAUACUUGCUUAAAAACAGCAAGGAAAUUUCUUCUUUCAACACUAUUAACAAGUAUCUGACAUGAAAUAACACUUUCACAAGUAAAAGGGAUUCUGAUAUUUUACGUUCCUUAGUAAAUCUUUGGGGAGGGGGUUAGUACUAGAAAUUUUUUUCCUUUGGAGGACUGGUAAAUUCAGUUCUAAUUUUUACAUUGUUUUACAUAUGUCCUUUUAUGAUCACUAUAACAUUUGUGUUUAUCAAAUAAGUUAAAGUAUAGUAAUUUUUAAGUUAAGUAGCGAAAUCCAUGAUAAUCCAGAGAUGCUCAAGUGACUUGAAUGCUUCAACUUGAGAUGGGUCAGCUUUAGGGGUGAAGUUGUGAAGAGAAAGCCAUCACACACACUUCAUCAACACUGUGGAAUGAGGGACCGAUGCUUUUACUGAGCAGUGGAUUUCCAGUGAGCAUAUAAACUAAUUGGUGGGUGAACAUACCCCAGGAGCAAUGAUUUUAAGGUCAUAGCAGGCUCAGUGAAUAAUGCUGACUUACACUGCGUCUCACUGAUAGCUGAUCUUACCAAUGAGCAGUUUAGAGGCAUUCAAGCCUGAGCUGUCUUCCAUGUGCCUUGAAUGGCAUGUCAGUGGUCACUGUUUUUGACAUCCUUUAUAUUUGUCCAGUCAGCUCUAAAUCUUUAGGUUCAGCUUCAGAGUACUCAGGAAAGAAAAGAGAGAAGCAAUUAUUUUCAGUCAUUGAGUUUUGAAGAUCUUAGCGUUAAUUAUGCCAAACAUUGUUGGUUCAUCAACAAAUACAAACCUUAAAAGGGGUUAUGAAGCAUUCUGAACUUGCUUAAACAUAGUUUAUGGUGAUUAAGAGAAUCUUGUAUACACUAAUAUAUUUUUAGUUACACUUUCACCCAUAUAUUUUCAUAUACAGUUUCAAAACCAAAUAUUCAAAUUAAAGCUAAUUUCAGUUUUGGUUAAUAAAUUUUGAAAUGCUUAUUCACUUUAAUUAGCAUUUCUUUCGUAUUUGAAAAAAGAGGAAUAAAAAAGUACAAUUCACUAUUUCUCUGUGGAGUCCAGAGUAAUUUUGGGUGUGAAAAAUAUUUCAAUAAAACAAAAAUCACAAUGUCAUAGCUCUAGUAAUGCUAUUUAAAAAUUGAUUUAAUAGUGGGCUUUGAGAUUUAGAAAUUUUCUCCCACUUAAAUCUUUAAUUUAUCAAAGAUUAUUUGAGCAUUAAAAAUGUGCUUUGCCUAUUGUUUUCCAACUCUCUGUGCUCUCUGACUUGUUGAAGUUUUGCAGGAAGUGCCCAAUCAAAGGAUUUGAGGAAGCAGUACUGGACAUUCUUUGGAAGUGUUCAUCUGAGAAAAUGAAAGUUAGAGGCUAAACUAGUUUUCUUGUUUGCAACUCAAAUUUUAAAUCUAAUUUCCCAUGUAAAUAAAAUAAGUGAAAAGCACAAAGGAUGUAAACUUCCUAAAUCUGCCAGAAUCUUGUGUCUUAAUUAAAAAAUAAUUUUAUCAUAGCAAAAGAAACACAUUUAGUUCCUAAAGAAAAUACCAUGGGUGGUAUUCUUUUGUUGUAUUAGAGGUUUGAAGUAGAAUAGUUGUUUCUCAUGUACAUGUAUUACAGUAGACAAAGUGUUGAAUAGUUUUCAUUUCUGAUACAUUAAUGAUUAGAAAAAUCGUUACCCUAAUCCUUUUUUUAUAACUCAAAAACAAACUAAAAAGGUUUUUGUUUUUUUGGAGGAUCUGUUCUUUCCAAGAGGCUGGUGUUCUUCUACCUUUACUGUCCUAACCUUGCCUUUCAAAUUAAGAUAUAAUAGUUAGAAUCUACUAUAGAAUUAAUUUAGAUUCAGUUGUCUCUAUUAACAGAAAGUGAUAUGGUUUUAAAAAAUGCAGAUGAUCAUUUAUGAGAAUCUGGCUGUAAUCAAAAGCAGUAACUACUAUCCUUAGCAGUUCUUUAUUCAGUAAAGAGUUAUCCUCUUUUUGCUAUUCUUUAUUUCAUUUAUUCUUGUGAAAUAUGUUUACCUUUUUAACAAAACUUUCUAUUUUACGUGGCUAGAUAUGUGAUAAAACAAACACGGUAAAAUGUUAAGGAUAGAAUCUAGGUGGUAGGUAUAUGGUCUUCUCUGUAAAAUUUGCUUCUCUUUCACAUUUGCUGUAUGUUUGAAAUUUUCAUGAGACAAUUUUAGAGAAAAAAAGCUUUCUAUUUUGAUUGUAAUAGCCAAUAGCCAAAAACCUUAUUCCAUUUUUGAAAAAAAACCUAGAUAUUUUAAGUUUCUUUUACUUAUCUAAGCAUAACAAUGCAAAUACCAUAUAAUAUAUAUUGAUAAUAUCACACAUUUAGUGAGUUAGAAAAUAUAAAACUGGCUUUUAAUUGUUAAAUAUGUAUACUAUAUACCAUUCAUAUUUUAGCUGGUGGUUUAAAAAGCUAACUUAGGCAUUAUUUAAACUGAAUUAGGGUAAUUACAUCAAAAGUAGUUUCUUAGCCAGAAUAAUUUUCCAUUUUGUUAAAGGAGCCAUGAUGAAAUGAAGUGUUUAGAGAGUUUUAGGAAUAAAAUGUGGGUGUGUAUUCUUUAACAUAGAAUGAAUAUGCUUUCCAGUGGACUUUGGAAUGGGAAAAGUAUCAAUAAAUAAUGCUUAUUAAGCUUCUAACUAGGCAUAGCGCCAGUUAUCUCAUACUUGAGAGAGAAUUUUUUCCUUAAAUAAAUGCAACCAUUGCAUUUUGGGGGUGCUUUUCUUACUGUCUUCAUUCAACUGUUUGCCACAUGUGUGCCUGAUACAUUAUUGAAUCAUAGAAAUAAUGUUUAAAUAUAUGUGGGCUCCCCACCUACCUCCUUUUUAAAGAAAUAGAUAUUAAACACACAAAAAAAUAUUACUAUUGUUUCUUCCCUGAAAUCUUUCAUGGCACACUUGGCUUACAGAGUUUAAUUUUGCUGAAAUAAGAGUUUAUAAGUCAUUUUACCUUUGAUAUUCCAAAGUUGGAAACCUAGAGAUAAUUUUUAAGUAAAAUUUAUCUUUAACCUUUGUAUUAUAAUCUGUAUUUACAUGAGUGUGCAAGUAGCCUCUCUUUAUUAAUGAAAAUAAAGACUAGUGAAAAAAUUUUACAAAUGAUUAACCUAGUUCUUGCAUUCAUUAGGUAUAUUUACAAGUCAUCUGUGAUCAGUUUAGUUACCAUCCCUUUGAUAUCCUGCAGCCAUUAUUGGAUGCCUUUGGGGUUGUGAUAUCAUGCUGGGGAAGAAUGGUUCGGCUGCAGGUUUUAUGUGUCUUUUUAUAGUUGUUCACAAUAUCCCAUGCUAAAUUAUAUGGUGAAUUAUUAUACAUUUGCUAGUUUAAAAGAUGUCUAAUUGAUUUACUAUGCUAAAAUAUCAAAGACUAUAUGCUGCAGGAGUGAUGCUUCCAGUUAACAACUUAUCAUGUAUUCAUGGAGACGACAAUGCUUGCUCACAUAUUGGCACUAUUGUCUAAUUUGGUGUGCCUUGUGUUGUAAUUCAAUCAUCUAUUAUUAAAAGUAGAUGUGGCUGUAGGGAGCAAAACCACAUACAAAUCCAUAAACAUACAUAUGUGCAUAUUUACUUAUACUCACAUAUAUGUUCAAUAAGGUUUUUGUUUUACCUGCUAUUAAUGUUUGUACUAGUGAGUCAUAAAUGGAAAAUAUCUAUUAGCUCUAAGGUAAAAUAAAAUAGGUUUUGAUUUAGUUCAAGUGAACCAUCUCAUUUAAAAUUAGCCCAGGGGUCUUGUAAAGAAUGCAAGUAAUCUAAACAUAAUAAUGCACAUUGCCCAAUUGCUUCUGUGUAUGAUACAGGUUCAGUGCUGUAGUGCUUUGACAGCCCAUUACUGAAUGUAAUGAACAGCUAUUUUUAAACAGAAGAAAUUCAAGUUGACAGCUUGGCAAUGAAAUUCAGCUAGUGGGAUAAUUUUUGUCAUCUUUAGUAUAGAGAAUGGAUUCAGUUUGGUUUAAGCAAAUUUGUAUCAUGUAGUUUAUAGCGCAAACAUUUUUAUUAAAAGAUAAUUUUAUUGUCCAUUUUGUGGAGAGGGGCAGAUGUUACUGUUAAGAAUAUGUAAUCAGCUUUUAAUGAAUACUUUAAUGAAUUACUGAAACAUCAUUUCUAGAACCUAGGUUUAAAAUGAAAUUUCUCAUUUUUCUUUCCUGCCAUGGGUGAAAUAGUCUAAUAAAACGACUAUAAGAUUAAGAGGUGUUUUUCUAUGCUGCUUUUUAGUCUUUCAGAGUUUAAAACAAGUAGUUUUAAGAAAUAAGAUAGUCUUUGGAAAUGGAUAUAAAGCUUGAGGCAGUGUUGUCUUAAUGGAAGUAAGAAUUAGACAAAAUACCAUUGAGAGAGAGAAGGAAAAUGUCUGCCUGACUAUAUUUUAGAGAAAUUCUUUUACUAAGAAUAAGGAGACGGUAACAUCUGAUUUUGACAACUCUUAAAAAAUAAGUUGGAGAAGCUUCGUCUGCAAUUCUUAAAUAAAACAUAUAUUUUUAACUCAUACUAUGAAAAAUAAUAGGGUAAGUCAGAGUGAGUUAUUUCAUUCUCUUCUGUUUACAGCAGAAAUUGUUUGAGAAUUCUAAUUGCUAUUUUUUCUAAGUUGAGCUAAUUGCCAGAGCUUUUAAAAUAGAGACUUCAGGUUCAACGUUGUGCAUUGUGUUAAAUGUGGCUUGAAAAAUACAUUACUCAACGAAAUCUGGGUGAACAAAGUAAGUAAACUGAGUACUUUACCCAAUAUCCAAUAAUGUUUCUGACCCUACCAGUAAAAUAAACUAAAUAUAUAGCAGUGGUGAAAAUUUUAAAAUUGUCAGAAAUCCCCCUCUAAAUGCAUUGCCAGAAAGCUUUGUUCAUGGGUCUUCAUUACCCCUUCAUGCUUCCAGGGCACCUCCUCUGGGUUCCCAAGGCACUGGGAACUUAAAAGUUAGCUUUGCUUAGUAACUAUGCCUUGAAGUAGGAUAAUAAAACAAAUCAUUUUUAAUAGUCAGUAGAUUUUUUUUCCAUUUCUGAUCUGUUUCUCUAUUUUACUUAUCUCUUGGACGGCAUAAUGGCCCCAAACCUAAUAUAGCAAUGAAUCUGUGUAGAAGUCAAGCAUUUUUGGAGAGGCUUUCAUGUUAGGUCACUACUGUACUCUUUAGAAUUGUAUUGUAUCAGUGAAUCAAAAGAAUUUCUUGACAUGAAAGAAUUGGUACACAUCUAUAAACAUUUUAUUUAAACCUAGAGAGGAUAUUAUUUAUCUAACAGAAUCCAGCUUACUUCUAGCAACAGUACCAUCAGUUUGUAGCCUGGUCUUUGAACUCUUGAUUUUGUUGUGAAGUGACCCUCUUGAAAUCUUAAUUUACCCAUGGAUAGAGGACGUUGUAUGAGGCAGAAGGGCAUCAUCACAUUAGCCCUGCUUCUCUAUGGCAUCAUGAGAUGCUAAGAUAAGCACUUGAAAGGUAUUUUAACUUUCUUGAUCUCAGAAUAACUUGAGAAGAAAUUCAUGGUACCCACAUACUGGGUUAACAAAAUAAUUAGUCGCAUUUGGUUAUUUGUGAGGAGGAAACUGUGAAACGUGAAAGUAGGACUGGGGAUUCCAGGACGAAGCCUAGAGAUAGAUUUUUUUUAGAAGGAGGCUUAUCUCUGAAGAUGGGCAGGAUGAAAGAAGUCACCAGCGAUUCCAGUGGAUGCUUUCUGUGUUAUGUGACUACAUUUUUCUUUCUGCUUGCCCUUUGAACUUUGAGGUCUGAGCAGUGCAGGAAGAAGAGAAGAAAUUGCGUUGCCAUGAUACACUGUAAGGGCUUCAGGAAAAUGGGAUAUGGCAGUGGUUUGAAAGAUAUUGAGAAGGUUUCCAACCCAAUUGUCAUUCAUUGCAGCUGUAAGAAUUUAAUGGGAUAUGGUCUAAUGAAGCAUACCCAUUGAAAAAUUCUUAAACUAGUGUCUUGAGAGUCAAAAUUGUUUGCUGGUUAAGACACAUUCUGUCUGGAGCUUGACUGCCUGGGCUUAAGCCCUAUCACUAGCUGUGUAACUUUGACCAAGUUAUUUAACCACUUUGUGCCAUUGUUUCUUUAUUUGCAACAAAAAUCACAACUCCCAGGGUUAGUAUAAGGAUCACAUGGGUUAAACAUUUAAAAUUCUUAAAAAGCUAUUUUUUUUAAUGCAAAAAGAGCUUAAUUUGUGUAAUCUAUUGUUGUUGUUUUAGAAUUCAUUGUAGUUGGAAUGCUGUGUGUCAAAAACGUUGGUCCUUAAUUAAAGGUUAAAGUUAUCAGGAAUCCUAACUUUGAAAAAGGAAAGUCUAAAUGAGAAUUCAAUUCCAUUUGGUUAAUAUUUAUCAUUCAUAAAUAUUAAGUAGCAUGGGAUGGGAUUUAUAAAAUAUUGAAAUCAUAGCUUCUACCCUACUAAUAAACUCUUUGAGGAUAGGGAACAUGCUGUAUGCUACCAGUCUUGUAACCUAAAUGGUGCCUUGUGUAAUUCAAAUAUUUGUUCAGUAAAAGUCAGGUCAACAUGAAUCCAAAUAUAUUGCUAGUACAUAUUAGAUACUUAAUAUGUGUAACUUAAGUGAAAGGAUUUAUUUAUGUGCGUGAGUAUGAAAACAAGUGUUCAUUUUCACUAGUGAUGAAGGACUUGAAUUACAACAAAAGAGUUACAGGUUAUAAAUAGAAGUAAUCUGACUAUAGGGUUGGUAAACAUCCUAGUUCUUUCCUAAGAGAAAUAACAGAAUCUAUAUAUUGUAAAGAAUAGGUUAUCAGGUGACAUUUAACUGUCUUUAUUUGUUGUAGAAGAAUAUUUAGGUCUUUUAGCCCUCUUACCCUCUAUUUCUCAGAAUUAUUAUAUAAAUAUGUACAUUCUUGUGAAAGAAGAAACAAAAAGACCUUGGAAUGAAAAGCUUUAACUACAGCCAAGUUUACCUUUUCUAUACAUGUCAUCCUUUCUCUUUUAGGGGAAGCAACCAGGGGAAAAUGAAGAUAUCACCAUCAGUAGUAACUCUUCCUUUUUUGUUUAAAUGGUAAAUAUGCCUGGGGAGAUGGGACUUAUAAGAAAAGAUGUUUUGGCCAAGGCAUCCUACCUCUGCUUGUCUUCAUGAUCUUCAUUACAAUCAUAGCAGAAAUCCUCAUGCUAAAUGUUUUUCUUUUCCUUCUUUUCUGGGAGAUCAUUAAUCAGCUAUCCUAUUUUCCUAUUUUACGAUUUCUCCUUCUCCAGCCCAAUUAUGUUUUCUACAAAGCUAGUGUCUGGGAUACUAACUCUUAACUCAUUCAAGCAAGCUUCUCGGCUAUAUCAUUACAAUAAAUUCUAUUUAAAAUACUUAGUGAAGUACAGUAUUCAUAAGCCAGUUAUUGCAUUAGGUGUAGCUGCAGUGACACUGAUUAGCAUUCAUCAUAAAGAUAGUUGAAUAUGAUUUAUUUAUAUUUGUAUGUAAGUAUAUAUAUUUUGAAUAUGUACUAUGCUCAUAUGAUUCAAAGUUCAAAAUGGCCUCAAGAGUAUAAACUGUGAAAAGUCUCCUUUCCAUCUGUCCUUCAUCAACCCAGUUUCCCUCUCUGGAAAUAACCACAAUGACUAAUUUCUUUUGUAUUCUUCCAGAGUUAUUUUCUGCAUACAAAUAAAAACAUGUAUGGUUGCAUAUAUUUCUGUAUACUUAAAAAAUGGAGAUGACUCUUUUGUUUUUUGGUUAACAUCACUUUCUGGAAGGCAAAAGAUGAUCAUAAAUUCCUUCUGAGAGUACCAACUUGCCAACUUACCUUAAGUCAUAUUUCUUUCUUUUUAUUUUCUUUCUCUCUUUUUUUUUUUUUUUGAGACAGAAUCUUGCUCUGUCACCCAGGCUGGAGUGCAGUGGCAUGAUCUUGGCUCACUGCAACCUCCACCCCCCGGGUUCAAGCGAUUCUCCCACCUCAGCCUCCCGAGUAGCUGGGACUACAGGUGCGUGUCACCACGCCCGGCUAAUUUUUGUAUUUUUAGUAGAGAUGGGGUUUCACCAUGUUGGCCAGGCUGGUCUCAAACUCCUGACCUCGUGAUCCACCCGCCUUGGCCUCCCAAAAGUGCUAGGAUUACAGGCAUGAGCCACCGUGCCCGGCCCUUAAGUCAUAUUUCUUAAAAGUGCCUAGUGUACAAGAGUCUUUGAAACUAGAAAUAAGUAAGAAGAGAAAGCAAAGAUAGAUUAGAAACCCUCAAUAUUUGUUUUCUUCUUUUGGAAAUUCUCAACAGAAAUUCCAGAUGUUACAAAGUUGAAUUAGCUAGUUCCUCCAUGGCUGCUUGGUGAUGGAUAAGCCAUUCCCCUGCAAAUGAAUAGUGAACCCUCAGAUUCUCUUGGAAGCAUGGAACAGCCUGCACAUUAGUGUAAAGAACAUCCCCCAUUUUGGAGUCAGAUUAAUCUGGGUUUGGAGACACAGAUCUAGCAUUAGGACUUUGUAGCUUUGUGACUUUUUUUUUUUUUUUUUUUUUUUUGCCAGAGUCUCGCUCUGUUGCUCAGGCUUGAGUGCAGUGGUGCAUUCUCGGCUCACUGCAACCUCUGCCUCCCCGGUUCAAACGAUCUUCCCACCUCAGCCUCCCACAUAGCUGGAAUUACAGGCAUGUGCCAUCAUGCCCGGCUAAUUUUUGUAUUUUUAGUAGAGACAGGGUUUCACCAUGUUGGCUAGGCUAGUCUCGAACUCCUGAUCUCAAGUGAUCCGCCCGCCUCGGCCUCCCAGAGUGCUGGGAUAACAGGUGUGAGCCACUGCGCCCUGCCAGCUUUGACUUUUAGCAAAUGACUGAGUCACCUCGUGAAAACUCUGUAAAUAGAGAGUAAUCAAACCAAACCUGUGGUAUAUUUCACACGGUUAAAUGAGAUCAUGUAAGUGAAUACUGUCUGGACAAAAAGUAGGUGCUCAAUAAAUGUCAGCUUCUUUAUUCGCCAUUCUGCCAGUACAUUUAAGAUGAAAAGGUCUGCUUUCAGGGGUUUGUGCUGUUCAGUCUUACUGUGCUUCUCAGAAUUGAAAACAGCAUUUAGAAAGACGUUUUUAUAUAAUUAUUCAUCUUGUAAGGAUGCAAGUGUCAGAAUCUAUUUUUAAUCCAACAACCAGCUUUUCUGUAGUGUUUUAACAGUUUACAAAUGUUAACUUUCCAUUCUCUCUAGGGAGAUGAGAGAAAUCGAUAAAAGGCGAUUACAAGUGAAUACUCCUAUAGCAAUACUUGAUACAUUAAAUUGUUUAAAAGUGUUUUUUUUCUUCUUCCUCUUCUAGUUGCAGUAAUACGAGGUUUCUAAAGGCCAUACGUAACUGUGUACAUAAAGAGGAAAGCUACUUGGGAUAGAAGGACUCUCAGAUUGGGUUUUAACUUCUCAAGUAUAAAAAUAAGACAAGUAGGCAAAAAUAUCACAUUCUGAAGUUUUAAGUGACAGAUAAACAAAUUCAACAUGCACCACCAACUUUUUGAGUUUUAGGUACACUAACUUAUUGUGGGAUCUGGGCCAGCUGCUCUACCUCUGUAGACAUUUCUAAGUGGGAAAAAAAAAAAAGAUUUAGGAAUAGUACCCUUUUCAGAUUCUCUCAGAAUUAUAGUUGUAAGCACUAUGUAAAUUCAUAGAACAUAGUUUUGAAGACCAGCUUUAGAAUUUCAAUAGUUAUUGUAUAUUCAAAACAGCUACACAAGCACUUUAUUUUCAUUUUAAAGAUUUACAAUUAAAGUCAUUUUAUGUAUACCUCAAAUGCCUGAUUAUACACAAACCCAUUACAGGGUUUAUACACACAUUAAAUCCCUUCUUAUUAUGGGGUUUUGUGCACAUUAAAUGCCUGGUUGUUAUAGAUUGUUGUUUUUCUUGUUACCAUUAAAUGUAACAUUUCCCUAGGUGAUGAAAUGUAUUAUUAUUUAGAACAUUUAUUUUAGUGUGUGUUCUGUAUUUUAAAAGAGAAAGGUAUUUAAGCAGCAAAGAUGUAACUGUUAUGAAAUUUAUUUUUAUAAAUAGCUUUCAGCAGAAAUCAGAACAGUGCUUUAAAAUUACAGUUAAAAAAUCAUUUAAUCAUCACACUCCUUGAUGGCUAAUAGAGUAGUAAGUGACUCCCCCAUAUCCCCCGCAAUAGGCUAUUCUCGAUAUGCUCACUUAAGUGGCCCUAAGAAUAGUACUAGUAUAUUUUAUGUUAGCAAGCCUUGAUAGCAAAGUGCCAAAAGUUCAGGGGGCAUUUGUCUCCUUUCUCAAAAAUUCAUUUAAGUCUUGCUGGAGCUUUAACUGGGGCAGACAGCCAUACAAAUGACUUGAGAUAAAAUGAAAAUAAUGGACUGAGCUGGGUGCUGGGGAUGGUAGUUAUGCUGAGCACACAUCAAUAAGCUUGGAGUGUGAUUCUAUGCUAAUGCAAGCCUGAUGGAUCAGCUUUCUCUUUUAGCCUGGAGGACCAUUAAGCUCUGGAAGCUGAGUCAAACUGAUAGAGUUGGCAAAUACAGCCCAUCAGUUAGCAGCAAUAGUUAACUGACUGUGAUUCCUAAUAUGCGAAACUAACAUUGCUUAAAAACCCUCCAUGUUCAGGACAUAGAUCAGAAAGGAGAUAAUAGAUUCUGCUUUAAUUUGCAUAAUCAAAGCUUCUCAUUUUCCCACCUUAUAGUUAACAGAAGAGGGAAAAAAAGCCAUGGCUACCUUCAUUUUGUUGUUAGUCUUGAAUCAUAGCAAAUAAUUUUCAUAAAAAUGUAAAUAACUUGUUUCAAAAUAAAAGAGUAUAUUUGAAAGAUUCUCUGUGUUAUUUCUUUGGAAUUAAACUGUAGGCACAGUUACAUGGGUUGGGUAGUAAGUGUCUUGGGGAUAUGAAAAGUAACAAAGUCUUAAAAAAUUGUGAGUCUUUUUAGUGAUUGAUUAUUUUCAUAUAUAAUUUAUAAAGUUCUAUACUUUUACUUGAGGAUAUUGGCUUUGCAAACUUAUCAAAAACAGUUCAAAUUCUGUUGAAUUCAUAUUUUUGUGUUGUGAGGACUUUCUGUUCAUUUAAAAACAUUUGUUGAGCACCCAUUUAUUUCAGGCACUGCAUUGGACACUGGUGAUGUGGUUGUCCUCUUGGAGCUUACUUUUUUUUCUUUACAGGGGAGGUAAUAAACUAGUAAACAAAGACAUAAUACAGUUUCAGUGAGUGAUAGAUUCUUUUUUUUUUUUUUUUUUUUUUGAGACAGAGUCUUGCUCUGUCACCCAGGCUGGAGUGUGCAGUGGCAUGAUCUCCACUUACUGCAACCUCCACUUCCCAGGUUCACACGAUUCUCCAGCCUCAGCCUCCCGAGUAGCUGAGAUCACAGGCGCAUACCACCACACCCAGCUAAUUUUUGUACUUUUGGUAAAGAUGGCUUUUUGCCAUGUUGGCCAGGCUGGUCUCGAACUCCUGGCCUCAAAGUGAUCCACCCGCCUCAGCCUCCCAAAGUGCUGGGAUUAUAGGCAUGAGCCACCAUGCCUGCCCUGAGUGACAGAUUCUUAAGUAGAGCCUUCUCCAUCUGAGAGAUUCUACUCUGACCAAGUUUUUGCCAAAUAGACUCAAACAUUAAAUAUGCUGUUUUCAAUCACAGGUUUCCAGACGGUCUAAAAAAUUUGUAAAUGUAAGGAAAAUAAUAAAUAAAUUUGUGUUGAAGAAAAAUUAAGGGCUUUUGUGUAUACCUCGUUGUAAUCCAGACUGACAUCUCUGUGAAAACCCUAAUAAAAGUCUAUAUGCACGACUUUCUGAGUGUUUAAUAUGUGCUGGCUCUCUUCUAAGCAGUUUACUCAUUAAAUAUCUCAUUAAAAAAAACCUCUAAAGAAGGUACUAUUAUUCCCAGAUGAGGAAAUUGAGACAAUAAAUGUUAAAUAACUUGCUCAAAGUUAUAUAGCUAGUAAGUGGGUGAGGUGGGAUUAAAACCUAGGCAGUUUGGCUCCAGAGUAAGUGUUCUUAAUCACUGUUACUCUAUGGCAACCUGAAGAAAUUUGUUUAGCUGAAAAUGUAUUGCUACUUUAGAAUGCAAGGUUUGAGAGGACAGGGAAUGCAUCUGUCUUGUUCACCUCUAACUCUGCACUUAGCACUGAACCUGGGUUAUAGAGGGUGGCCAAUAAGUAUUUCUUGAAUAAGUGAGUGUAAAUGACUACUAUUAUAUGUUUAAAUUGAAUAAUAUUUCAUACAAAUUCUUUUCAAAAUUUAUUUUGCUACAUAUGUUUUUCUGGUGCCCUAAAUUAGUAUAUGCCUUAUAUGUACAUUCCAGUGCUAGUUAGAAUGAUAAUACGAUCAAUUCCUAUGGAUGGGGUAAGGGUAGGGCCAGAAUUCCUUGACCUACAUCAUUUCUAUAGCCUAUCUACCCUAGGUAUAUGGGAUUUCUCAGUGGAUCACAUCACAUCGAGCUCAUACUGUGUUCUUGUAUAAUACCUGCUACCCUUGACUCACAGAAUGUUUUGUGUGAUGUCAAGUAGCAAAUGCUUACAUAUUUCUACUUCCAAUUAUGUUUCCUUUCUCCUUAUAUCUUUGGAGAAGACAAUAACAUUAUUCUGUAAGUAUCAAACUGAUAUUAAAUGAUUGAAUGAAUGGGGCUUUCUCCUGUACAUGGUUUGUUUUUAGAAUAUAAAAAUGAAAAAUAAUUUUUCUAAAUAUAAUACACAGGACAACUCAUGUAGAAAAUUCAAAUAAUAAAGAAAAGGGUAAUAAAGUAAAAAUAAAACAUAUUCUCAUUACUCAAAAUAAUUUAUGUUAUCACUUACAUGUAUUAAUUCUCAGUUAACAUUUUGGUAAUCAUCCUUUCAGAUAACUCUAUGUAUACAUAGACACUUACACAUGAUUUUAAAUAAAUGAGUUUAUAAUGUGCAUAUGAUUGGAUAACCUGCAUUUUUUCACUCAAUAAUGAAACUUGGAAAUUUUUUUUCAUGUCAAUGAACAUUAUUAUAGUUUUUAAUGACCUACUCUGUUGUUUGGAUUUAUGAUUAUUUAAUUGGCCUUAUAAUAAUAGAUCUAAAUUCCUUUUUUUGCUUUUAUUUUUGAUGUUCCAAACAAAACUGUAGUGAAUAUGUAUUCAUAUAUCUAUAUGAAUUGUUGCUGGGUCAAAGGUUUUAUUUUUUGGGUCAUGUGUAAUCUGACAGUUUAAAAUUAUACAAAAAUGUGCUGAAGUCCUUGCGUUCAUUGCUUAGGGAGUAUCUGUGUGCAAGAGGAACAUUAUAUGAAUGAAUAGAAAUAUAAUUCAGGUCUCAGCUAUUUAGAAAAAAAAAUGCUUCUUAAUUCUCUUAAUCUAAAGAUUUCUUCUUUAUCUCCUUUUGCUUUUUCUCCUUGCACUUUGUUAAAGAAACUAUUGUUCUGUAGGUUUUCCUGUAGAGUCUGAGUUUUGCUGAUUGCAUCCCCAUAUUGUCAUUUAACAUGAACUGCUACCUUCUGUAUUUCCUAUACAUUGAUCGUUAAAUCUAGAGGCUUGAGCCAAUUCAAGUUUGAUUUUAUUUACUUAUUUAUUCAAAGCUACUUCAUAGGGAGAGCUUUUCUUCUCUGCCAGAAGGCCACAGUAUCAAUCUUAUUGUAGUAUUGUAGUACUUACAGCCAUUCUUGAUCAAUGCCAUGGAUACCUAUGUUAAUGUCUUUGCAGUCCUUUAAGUUGUUCCAGUUUGGAUUUGCAUAACACACCACUUCAAAACUUAAUGGCUUACAGUAAUGUCAGCAAGAAUAGGAAGCCCUAGACCUUGUUUUCCCACAAAGACACUGACUUAACAAUAUAUGACCCAAAAACAUUUAGGAUAGCUCCAGAAGCCAGUUGUGAAUUCACAGCACCCUAGGCAGGAUCAAAGCCAUGAAUAGUUCUAUUGAAAGAGAUAAGACAAGUAGUUCCAUUUGAAUGAUGUCAGCCCCUCUCUUAAGCCAGCAUAGCUCAUAAUAGGGAGGAAAAGCCCAACUCAUGGCUUCUGCCUUGAGAGGAAAACAGAAAAGUGAAAUGUACAUGCAAUAUACUAGCUUUUUAGGGGGUGAAAAAGUAAGGGGUUGGGUGGGAGUUGGGCUGCCCAGAAUGUUGAUUUCAGUCUUGCCUGACUCAGAGUGCUAGCUGAACCAGCAUACCUUGGAUACCUGGGGUCUACAGUGAACAAAAGAGAACUUAGUAGCUUUUUGCAGCACCAAGAACCCUGCCAGUACCACAGACAGGCGCAAGAGGGAGGAAGAAACUAUAAACCGAAAAAGAAACUGACAAACUUCUCUAAUUGGGAAUUUACAUGCAGAGAGUGAGAGAAGAUACAUCUCCCCAUAAAAGGAUUGAGAGGCUGUCAGAUUCUCUGGCUGUGCUGUUUGGUGAAGGUCUUCCCCUAUAGAAAGCCAGUAUGUAAAGAUUGGGAGAGGUGGCUGUUUUUCAAAUGCAAAAAUCACAACAAAAAAUAACAAGGCACACAAAGAAACAGGGAAAUCAGUCAAAGAAACAAAAUAAAUCUCCAUUAACUGACUCCGAAGAAACAGAGAUCUAUUAGUUACCUGAAAAAGAAUUUAUGAUAAUCUUAAAGAAGCUCAAUGUGUUACAAGAGAAUACAGAUAGACAGCUAAAUGAAAUCAGGCAAACAAAGCAUGAACAGAAUGAGGAUAUGAACAAAGAUAUAGAAACUAUAAAAAAGAACAAACUAGAAAUUCUGGAGCUGAAGAAAACAACUGGUUAGGAAAAUUCACUGUGGAAGACCAACAAGAGACUUGAUCAAACAGGAAAGAAUCAGCUAACUCAAAGACAAGUCAUUUGAAAUUAUUGAGUCAGAGUAACAACAGCAACACAAGAAUGAAGAAAAGUAAAGAAAGCCUGAAGGACUUAUGGUGUACCAUCUGGCUGACCAAUAUAUACAUUAUGGGAGUUCUAGAAGGAGAAGAGAGAAUAGGACAGAGAGCUUAUUUGAAGAAAUAAUGGUCAAAAACUUCCAAAAUCUGAGGAAGAAAAUGGACAUUCAAAUUCAAAAAACUCAACAGACUGUAGAUAUGAUGAAUCAGAAGAGGUGCACACUGUGACACAUUAUAAACUGUCGAAUGUCAAAGACAGAAUCUGCAAAGCAGCAAGAGAAAAGCAACUUGACACAUACAAGGGAGCUCCCAUAAGUUAUCAGUGGAUUUCUAUCAGAAAUGUUACAGGUCAGAAAGAGUUGGAAGAUAUACUAAAAGUGCUGAAAGAAAAAAAACUGCCAAUAAUACUGUAUCUGGCAAAAUUAUCAUUUAAAGAUGAAGGAGAAAUAAAGACCUUCUUGGAUAAACAAAAGCUGAGGGAAUUCAUCAUUUAUCAUCACUAGACCUUCUUUACAAGAAAUGCUAAAAGGAAUCUUUCAAGUUGAAACAAAAGGAUGCUAGACAGCAACACAAAAACAUAUGAAAAUGUAAAGCUCUCUAGUGAAGGAAAAUAUAUAGAUAAAUACAGAAUCCUAUAAUCUGUUAUGAAGUGCAUAAAUCACUUAAUUCCAAAGUGAUUCCAAUUUAAAAUUGGAUAUUUAUCUUUUAAAUUGGAUUAUCUUUUAAAUUCCAAUUUAAAAGAUAAAAGCACUGAAAAUAGCUAACUAUAAAACUAUGUUAAUGAAUAUAAAAUAUAAAAAGAUACGUAAUUUGUGACACUGGUAACAUAGAGGGAAGAGAUGUAAAGGAAUGAAAUAUUUAUAUGUGAUUUAAGUUAUCAGUUUAAAAGAGAUCAUUAUAACUAUGUUUUAUGUAAUCCUCAUAGUAACCACAAAGAAAAUACCUACAGAAGCUGCACAAAAAAAAUGAGAACAGAAUAAAAACACAUCACUAAAAAAAUCAAUGAAACAGGCUGGACGCAGUAGAUCACUCCUGUAAUCCCAGCACUUUGGUAGGCCAAGGCAGGUAGAUCGCUUGAGGUUAGGAGUUCAAGACCAGCCUGACCAAUAUGGUGAAACCCCGUCUCUACUAAAAAUACAAAAAUUAGCUGGGUGGUGGCGCAUGCCUGUACUCCCAGCUACUCGGGAGGCUGAGGCACGAGAAUUGCUGGAACCUGGGAGGCAGAGGCUGCAGUGAGCCAAGUUUGUGCCACUGUACUCUGUCAAAAAAAAAAAAAAAAUCAAUGAAACAUAAAGGGAGACAGCAAGAGAGAAAAGGAGAGACAAAAUAACUGGAAAAUAUAGAAAUAGUAAGUUCCAUGGGAACGGUGAGAGCUUCUCUAUCAGAAGUUACUUCAAAUGUGAAUGUUUACUUUAAACUCCUUAAUCAAAGAACAGAGAGUAGCUGAUUUAAUUAUAAAAACUUCAAACAAUAAAUGCUGUUUAUAAGGCACUCACUGUAGAUAUGAAGACUUAGGCUGAAAGUGAAAGGAUGGAAAAAGAUACUCCAUGCAAAUAGCAACCAAAGGAAAAAGGAGGUUAGCCCUACUUAGACAAAAUAAACUUUAAGUCAAAAACUCACAAGAGACAAAGAAGGACAUUAUAUAAUGAUAAAAGGAUCAGUUCUCCAGGAACUCAAAACAAGUCUAAAUAUAUAUGCAUCUAACAGUAGAGCACCCAAAUAUAUAAAGCAAACACUAGCAGAAUUGAAGGAAGAAAUAGUAACGCAGUUAACAGUAGGAUAUUUAAAUAUUUCACUUUUCAUAAGGGAUAGAUCAACUAGACAGAAGAUCAUAAGGAAACAAAGGACUUCAAUAACAUUAUAGUCCAAUUGGAUCUAACAGAUAUACAGAACACUCCACUCAACAACAGCAUAACACACAUUUUUCUCAAGCACAUAUAGAACGUUUUCCAGUAUAAAUCAUGUUAGGCCAUCAAAAGCGGUCUUAACAAAUUUAAGUAGAUUGAAAUCACUUUAUGUAUUUUUUCUGACCACACUGAAAUAAAACUAGAAAUCAACAUCAAAAGGGAAACUGGAAAAUUCAUAAAUAUGUGGUGAUUAAUCAACACACUCUUGAACAACCACUGUGUCAAAAAAAUCACCAGAGAAAUUAGAAAACAUCUGAAGGCAAAUGAAAACGAAUACACAACAUAUUAAAACUUACGGAAUGCAGCAAAAGCAGUACUCAGAGGAAAGUUUAUAGUGGUAGACACAUUAAAAAAGAAGGCUCUCAUAUCAACAAAAUAACUUUACACUCAAGGAACCAGAAAAAGAACAAACUAAUCCCGAAGCUAGUAGAAGGAAGGAUAUAAUAAAGAUUUGAACAGAAAUAAAUAAAAAGAGAAUAAAAAUGAUUUUAAAAAAUUAACAAAACUAAGAUGGCUUUUAGAAAAUAUCAACAAAAUUGACUAGCCAUUAGCUAGACUUAAAUAAAAAAAGACAAGACUCCAAUAACAAAAAUCAGAAAUGAAAGAGCAGACAAAACAACGGAUGCCACAGAACUGAAAAGGACUAUAAGAGACUACUAUGAACAAUUACACAGCAACACAUUUGAUAACCUAGAAAUGGAUAAAUUUCUAGAAACAUAUAACCUACCAAGACUGAAUCACUAAGAAAUAAAAAUAGGCCAGUCACGGUGGCUCACACCUGUAAUCCCAGCACCUUGGGAGGCCAAUACAGGAGGAUUGCUUGAGUCCAGGAGUUUGAGAUCAGCCUGGGCAACAUAGUGAGACCCUGUCUAUACAAAAAAUAAAAGCAAAAUUAGCCAGGCAUGGUGGCACAUAGCUGCAGUCUCAGCUACUCAGGAGGCUGAGGUGGGAGGAUUGCUUGAGCCUGGGAGGUCAAGGCUGCAGCAGUGAGCUGUGAUCAUGACACUGUACUCAGCAAGACCCUGUCUCCAAAAACAAAAACAAACAGGUGGCUCACGCCUGUAAUCCCAGCACUUUGGGAGGCCAAGGCAGGCAGACCACCUGAGAUCAGGAGUUCGAGACCAGCCUGGCCAACAUGGUGAAACCCUGUCUCUACUAAAAAUACAAAAAUUAGCCAGGCAUGGUGGUGGGUGCCUGUAAUCCCAGCUGCUAGGGAGGAUGAGACAGGAGAAUCCCUUGAACAUGGGAGGCAGAGGUUGUAGUGAGCUGUGAGCUGUGAUUGCACCACUGCACUCCAGCCUGGGUGACAAGAGCGAAACUCUGUCUCAGAAAAAAAAACAAAAAAAAACAAAGCCAAACCAACAAACAAAAACUCACCACCACCACCACCAAAA
Long non-coding RNA from Homo sapiens (human), 24287 nucleotides. RefSeq lists it as uncharacterized. The transcript has 2 exons. Lineage: Eukaryota; Metazoa; Chordata; Mammalia; Primates; Hominidae. The record is from RefSeq and is a predicted model, not a curated record.